Molecule: ribosomal RNA, 172 nt
Filed under: Nasutixalus jerdonii (Jerdon's tree frog)
Lineage: Eukaryota; Metazoa; Chordata; Amphibia; Anura; Rhacophoridae
Description: partial 16S ribosomal RNA
Source: RNAcentral
GCCAAAAACCUAGCCUAUAUAUUUUUACACAUAAAACAUUUUUACUCUUUAGUAGAGGUGAUCGAAAAAUACCUUAAGCGCUUAAGAAAUAGUACCGCAAGGGAAAAGUGAAAUAAAAAUUAAAUAAAUCUAAAGCCCCAGAUAGCAGAGACAACUACUCGUACCUUUUGCA